UACGUAGGCAGCGAGCGUUGUUCGGAGUUACUGGGCGUAAAGGGUGUGUAGGCGGUUCUCUAAGUUUGGUGUGAAAUCUCCCGGCUCAACCGGGAGGGUGCGCCGAAAACUGGAGGGCUAGAGUGCGGAAGGGGCAACUGGAAUUCUCGGUGUAGCGGUGAAAUGCGUAGAUAUCGAGAGGAACACCUGCGGCGAAGGCGGGUUGCUGGGCCGACACUGACGCUGAUGCGCGAAAGCCAGGGGAGCGAACGGG
This 253-nucleotide ribosomal RNA is filed under the name uncultured bacterium. RNAcentral's name for it is "partial 16S ribosomal RNA". It matches the Rfam family "Bacterial small subunit ribosomal RNA", at positions 524 to 776 of the family's 1533-position model. The record is from RNAcentral.